Molecule: long non-coding RNA, 579 nt
Filed under: Rattus norvegicus (Norway rat)
Lineage: Eukaryota; Metazoa; Chordata; Mammalia; Rodentia; Muridae
Description: long non-coding RNA NONRATT009925
Source: RNAcentral
CAGGUGGGCACUCCUGAGGCUGCAGAGCGGAAGAGACCACCAACAUUGCUCACCCCUGCCCAUAUCCCUGGCCCAAGAGGAAACCGUAUAAGGCCUCUGGGCUCCCGUGGGGGAGGGCCCAGGAGCGGCAGGACCCCUGCCAGAGACACCGCUGGACCCUGAAGGAAACAGACCGGAUAAACAGUUCUCUGCACCCAAAUCCCGUGGGAGGGAGAGCUAAACCUUCAGAGAGGCAGACAAGCCUGGGAAACCAGAAGAGACUGAUCUCUGUACAUACAUCUCGGACGCCAGAGGAAAACACCAAAGGCCAUCUGGAACCCUGGUGCACUGAAGCUCCCGGAAGAGGCGGCACAGGUAUUCCUGGUUGCUGCCGCCGCAGAGAGCCCGUGGGCAGCACCCCACGAGCGAACUUGAGCCUCGGGACCACAGGUAAGACCAACUUUUCUGCUGCAAGAAAGCUGCCUGGUGAACUCAAGACACAGGCCCACAGGAACAGCUGAAGACCUGUAGAGAGGAAAAACUACACGCCUGAAAGCAGAACACUCUGUUCCCAUAACUGGCUGAAAGAAAACAGGAAAA